CCUACGGGGGGCUGCAGUGGGGAAUAUUGGACAAUGGGGGGAACCCUGAUCCAGCCAUGCCGCGUGUGUGAAGAAGGCCCUCGGGUUGUAAAGCACUUUCAGUGAGGAAGAACGCCUGUUGGUUAAUACCCAUCAGGAAAGACAUCACUCACAGAAGAAGCACCGGCUAACUCCGUGCCAGCAGCCGCGGUAAUACGGAGGGUGCGAGCGUUAAUCGGAAUUACUGGGCGUAAAGCGCGCGUAGGUGGCUUGAUAAGCCGGUUGUGAAAGCCCCGGGCUCAACCUGGGAACGGCAUCCGGAACUGUCAAGCUAGAGUGCAGGAGAGGAAGGUAGAAUUCCCGGUGUAGCGGUGAAAUGCGUAGAGAUCGGGAGGAAUACCAGUGGCGAAGGCGGCCUUCUGGACUGACACUGACACUGAGGUGCGAAAGCGUGGGUAGCAAACAGGAUUAGAUACCCGUGUAGUC
This 465-nucleotide ribosomal RNA is filed under the name Vreelandella stevensii. RNAcentral's name for it is "partial 16S ribosomal RNA". It matches the Rfam family "Bacterial small subunit ribosomal RNA", at positions 338 to 795 of the family's 1533-position model. Lineage: Bacteria; Pseudomonadati; Pseudomonadota; Gammaproteobacteria; Oceanospirillales; Halomonadaceae. The record is from RNAcentral.